AUUGAACGCUGGCGGCAGGCCUAACACAUGCAAGUCGAGCGGAUGAAGGGAGCUUGCUCCUGGAUUCAGCGGCGGACGGGUGAGUAAUGCCUAGGAAUCUGCCUGGUAGUGGGGGAUAACGUCCGGAAACGGGCGCUAAUACCGCAUACGUCCUGAGGGAGAAAGUGGGGGAUCUUCGGACCUCACGCUAUCAGAUGAGCCUAGGUCGGAUUAGCUAGUUGGUGGGGUAAAGGCCUACCAAGGCGACGAUCCGUAACUGGUCUGAGAGGAUGAUCAGUCACACUGGAACUGAGACACGGUCCAGACUCCUACGAGAGGCAGCAGUGGGGAAUAUUGGACGAUGGGCGAAAGCCUGAUCCAGCCAUGCCGCGUGUGUGAAGAAGGUCUUCGGAUUGUAAAGCACUUUAAGUUGGGAGGAAGGGCAGUAAGUUAAUACCUUGCUGUUUUGACGUUACCAACAGAAUAAGCACCGGCUAACUUCGUG
This 484-nucleotide ribosomal RNA is filed under the name uncultured bacterium. RNAcentral describes it as "partial 16S ribosomal RNA". It matches the Rfam family "Bacterial small subunit ribosomal RNA", at positions 30 to 507 of the family's 1533-position model. The record is from RNAcentral.